AGUGAACGCUGGCGGUAGGCCUAACACAUGCAAGUCGAACGGCAGCACAGUAAGAGCUUGCUCUUACGGGUUGCGAGUGGCGGACGGGUGAGGAAUACAUCGGAAUCUACUUUUUCGUGGGGGAUAACGUAGGGAAACUUACGCUAAUACCGCAUACGACCUACGGGUGAAAGCAGGGGAUCUUCGGACCUUGCGCGAUUGAAUGAGCCGAUGUCGGAUUAGCUAGUUGGCGGGGUAAAGGCCCACCAAGGCGACGAUCCGUAGCUGGUCUGAGAGGAUGAUCAGCCACACUGGAACUGAGACACGGACCAGACUCCUACGGGAGGCAGCAGUGGGGAAUAUUGGACAAUGGGCGCAAGCCUGAUCCAGCCAUACCGCGUGGGUGAAGAAGGCCUUCGGGUUGUAAAGCCCUUUUGUUGGGAAAGAAAAGCAGCAGGUUAAUACCCCGCUGUUCUGACGGUACCCAAAGAAUAAGCACCGGCUAACUUCGUG
Molecule: ribosomal RNA, 492 nt
Filed under: uncultured bacterium
Lineage: Bacteria
Description: partial 16S ribosomal RNA
Rfam family: Bacterial small subunit ribosomal RNA
Source: RNAcentral